CUCUCGUUGCAGUAGACAAUGGGAUAGUCGACGAUUUGCGCGUUGGCCAGCAGGAAACUGCUGUCGGCUGCAAGGAAAGAAGAAACGUAUGAGAGACAAAGAUAAAGAAAUAACCAAGAGAAAAUGCAAGACACGAGCAGCCGCCAUUGAUUUAAUUGCAUAAUAUAUAUAUAUAUAUAUAUAUAUAUAUAUAUACAGACACACCGAACCUACUUGCCAAGCAACACCAGUCGAAAUUUAAUUCCCUAGUGAAAUUCGCGACUCGGUCAUGAACAGUAAAGAGUGAGUGAAUGAGAAAAGAGAAAAAAAUGUAAUGAGAAUAGAAGAAAACGCAAAAGCUAUAUACAUAUAUACGUAUAAAAUCGUAUGGAGUAUUUUCAAGGAGCGAUCUUCCCGCGCAAUUUGGCAGCUUCAUAAAAGUCCAAGUACUUCGGCAGGGUUACCGCAGAACUUGUCGGCCAUUGUGGUACGGCAAAACACAGCCUCGCGAACCUACAAACUGCACGAACUCAUUUCAAGGGACAAGGGUAAUCAGAGUUUCUAGGUAAAAGCGCCACGGUACGCGGAACCGAAGCUCGAGGAAGUAAAUAUCUAGGAAAGAAAAAGCAAGAUGGCGUCGCUCGCUCUGUUAUGCCAAUGAAUACCCAAAGGGGUUCUGGUACCCCGUUAAAACUGGACACAAUGAAGUCUUUGGUGAUCGGAUGUCCUUUCAACGGGACGAGCGUUACUGCAUUCAUCGCCUAGAGUACUAGUCAAGGGUGCCAACCACUGAGGUAUAAAACAAAAAUCGGGAACGAUCGUAUAGAGGUGGUAGCGACCCCCGACGAGAUAACGUUUCCUAGGAUACGAAGUGCCAGGUAAAAAUACACCAUAGAAACAACCAUCCUGGAUCCCAGUUGUUGAUUGACAUUCUCACUACAGUGGCCCGACUCGACGGUCUUAUGGACAGCAACAAAAGGAUGAACUGAAACAAAGCCGCAGUUUUGAUUGUUUCCAAACUCCUGGAAGAAUUACAACUUGGAUAGGAUAAACGGAUGACGUUGUAAAAGGACACUUGGGAUCCAGCUUAAAAAAAAACUGAUCUCACAUCAUGUCUUCUUUCUUGCCGCUUAUACAGGAGUGGACGCUUUCAGUGGGUUGGAUCUUAGGGAUAUCGGACUUAAUCGAAGGCAAUUCGAGGGAGGACGUCAAACGUUAAAUGAUGAACGUGAAAGAAAUAACCUGGCAGCCUGUUGCGGGGGUUCAGUCAUUUCAAAAGACAGCCUCAAGUCGAUGAGAAAGAAGCUACUUCGUAUAAAGCGCUAUUUGAGGAUCGUGAUACCUUGGAGAUGAGAUAACGACCGACUACCGGUGAUAAGAGACCAGAAAAGGAACCCGAAGAUAGGUACCUGCACAAGGUUGCUAAUCACGAAGUGGAAGUUGGAUGACGUCGAGGAAGGGCAAAGUCCCCGGAAAGAGGUUACCCCGUUUCCUGGCUGGUGUCACGCCCUGGCCUUAACGACACUUCACUACGUAGAGACCCGUUUGCUUUUACCAGGGUGGGGUUUUUGGCACGCUACUUCACUUCUGACAGUUUCUUUAUUUUUUAUUUAUCUUUUUCUUUUCGUUCUCUCUAUUCUCUUCCUCUAAUCGAUCCUCCACGGCUCGCACUGGUUGACACCUUCUACGAGAGCAACGUGAUCGUUUACGUAUUUCAGUAUAUAUUUUGUGUACACGUUACUCGAGAACACCAGUCUCAUCCCGAGUCCCCUAGGACACAUUUCCUGGUGCGCGACGAAGACGUCCUUCGCGUCGAGGGUAUUCCAGCGUUCCUGACAAUUUCAUAGUAUUCGUGAAUACGACGUGGCCUGAUACGAAGAGUCUGAUAACACCGCCGAAGGACUCAUAAAUAAGAAUUUGAUACCAGACUGUACUACUGAUUACGUAGAAGAACAGGGGUAAACUUGGAGUACAGGAAUUCCCAGAGGGUGGCACGUGCUAUAAAAAAAAGGCAACCAUGUACAUCCAUACAUUAUACGUCCAAGCACACCGUGACCCCUUCUAUAAUUUAUUCAUAGACAGUCUGAUUGAACUCUUUCAUCUCAGGUGAAAUGGCCAUCCCUUUGAUAACACCAAAAUCAUUCCAGCCACCCACCCUUCCCUAGUAUCCCUCAAGUAUUCCAGUAUCCUUCAAGACUCCCAUACGCAGAGGGUAUCGCGCAGCAGCGAUAAACUGUACGAUUUCACGAAAUUCUUGACGCAUCCUCAAAUUAUACCUGGUGUCAAAUAAAUAAAAUAUAUAAAU
Cephus cinctus (wheat stem sawfly) is the source of this 2284-nucleotide long non-coding RNA. RefSeq lists it as uncharacterized. The record is from RefSeq and is a predicted model, not a curated record. The transcript has 7 exons. NCBI's taxonomy places the organism in Eukaryota, Metazoa, Arthropoda, Insecta, Hymenoptera, Cephidae.